Acipenser ruthenus (sterlet) is the source of this 2769-nucleotide long non-coding RNA. RefSeq lists it as uncharacterized. NCBI's taxonomy places the organism in Eukaryota, Metazoa, Chordata, Actinopteri, Acipenseriformes, Acipenseridae. The transcript is spliced from 5 exons. The record is from RefSeq and is a predicted model, not a curated record.
UUGAGGAUGGGAGAUUUGGGCUGCGUCUUAAAUUGUGCCAGUGUCAUUUGCUACUGAGGCAAAUUCUCUCGGGACUUACUCCAACCUCGUACCAUCGGAGUCCCAUUUCAAUCCGCGCUGGUAUCUGUCUAAUGUAGUAGGAACUGAACGGGACAGAUUUCAAAUCGCUUUUAACUACGGUAGAACCUACCAUAUCCGAUCUCAUAAGAUACCCUCUAGAGAUGGAAAUUGAUCAAUGCAUAUUUUAUUAUAGGUCUAAAACAUUCAGCUCUUGUAGGACAGAAUGGAUUCAGCUGCAGAUACAAUAAAAAAGGGCGCGUUUGGGAAUUCAGUUUCACUUUUACGUGCUGUCCCUUCACGGAAAACAUGUUCAAUAAACGAAAACAAGAAAACAAAGCAAGGGAUUAAUACCGUACCAUUAAAAAGCUAAAACAAGAUUUUUUUGUGUGCGCUGUUUUUUGUUUUUUUUAAAACGCCAUUUCUGUCUCGGUUAACAAGCACAUACUGGGAAAAAAAACUUGUCGGAUUACUUUGGCAUGGACUGACAAAGCAUGUCGAUGCCGCCUAAUCGGGAUACUGAUCAGGAUGUCUGCUUAAAUGGGAUACAGCUCUGGGAGACGGUUCUUCCCAAUGCUAUUUAUGUCGUUUAACUGGGACGUCACUUUGUUUUAAUUGGGAUACAGUAAUUUCAAAUGAUGAACAGAGAUCGCUUUUCAGACCAAGACAGUUUCGCGUAGCACAGUGCAGUGAGUAUGUGAGUACCCUGUGACUUAGGUACGUGAUUACCUGUGUCUUAGGUAAAUUGCGUAAACCACAUUGAACUCUUGAAGGAGUCGAGUCUCCUGUGGUUUCUCAGGCUGCUGUGGCAAAUAAAGUUGGCGUGUCAACAUCACAGGUGCCUCGCCUUUUGUGUGGAGAAUUGCCUGGAGACAGACCUGCUACAUAAUGAGGUCCCUGUGACAGGGACUACCCUGAGUGAGCGAGUUUAAUAAUUACUACUGAGCCCUCUGAAGAAUAGGACUGUCACAUCAUGGACUUCACUCUGCUUCAUUGUGAUCUGCAUGCUGCUUAAUAACGUCACUGUGCCGCCACUACAGGAAGGUCAACUCAGAGACCAGGAAUGACUGGACAGCAACACUAAAACUUAAAAAGAAACAUACAAGCCCAGAGGCCUAGAUGGCCACGCCAUACCUUAAGGUCUCCAUUAAUGGAUCAUCCCUUGACACCACUGUUCAAGCUAGGAAGAAAAAAAUUCAUAUGUAUUUAAAGCAGGUACCUGGGGUUUUGGGCUGACUCGCUGUUGGACAGUGACCAGCGGGACAGCAUUCGGGACGGGAAGAACUACAAGCCGGGACACAAGGAAUACAAGGUUAUAUCUUUCUGUGCUACGACCUCUGUUCUCACGGUUGAAGUACUGGGAUCCUCCCUGCCUAUUUGCACAAUUGAACUUGUUUUUAGAUAGUGUUAACCUAAUCCAAUUGUUUUAGUAAGAAUUGUUAUUUUAGAUAUAUUUAUAGUUUUAGUUGGGAUUGUAUUUUAUUGUUUUAAUUGGACGUUCAUCUGGGGGGGUUGGGGUUGGUGUCACAGAAUCCCAAAAGAACCUGUAAAGAGAGUGGAAAACGGGAGGGUUAACGUUUGUACACCUAGUUAAGUGUUUGGUUUAUUGUCACCUGGUCCGUUCUCUACUAGUGUUAUGCGUUAAAGCACGUGACAUUCAUAAAAGGAAAGUAAUUCCCUGAAUGCAGCUGUUUAAUACAGUGUGUUUUUUUUUAUUAUUUCCAUAGGUUGCAUUUGUAAUACAGUAUAAGCUUCAUUUUAUUCCUACAGAUGGCUUCCGCAGGAGAUACUGGGAGUUUCUCAACACUUCCCUGUGCUGAGUGCUCCGUGAUGCCCUCUGGAUAAGUCUACAGUUCAGUGUGUUUGCUUUGCAGCACGAGGAUUUGCCCUUGGCUGCUCUCAGCCUUGUCUUCCUGCCAGUGAGUGCCAGGUAGCCUGAAGCGUGCAACAAUUUGCAGAUUAGAUCUGUUGAACACAGGCUGCCAAGUGGGAUGAAUGGGAUCACUGAGCGCAUUUCAUUCACUCGCUUCUACUCCAGCUAACUGUUGAUUUACUGUUGAUGUGGUUGUUUCUGUGGUCAUUAUUUACUGAUUGUUAAACCUUACUUUAUGGUAGCUAUACCUUAGCUGAUAUGAAAAACUGUCGGGCAAAUGGUAUAUUGGCAAAUGUAACAUAAAAACAUUUGAAUCACCAGUUCAAUUUAACAGCCAAUAUUUGUGACUGAAAUUCUUUACAGUCUGAGUCACAGAUUUAUUUUUGUGUUUUGAUUAUAGUCUGCCUGAAUAAAUUAUGAAUUUGUUUAAUGUGCAUUUACUAAAACAAUGUGACUGAACGGCACAAAGCAUGCAUAUUAUUGGAAGUUGAAAGUAUCCUUGAGUCAGUGUAUAAAAGUGAGUUUAAUUUAAUUUUAAAUGUAUUUAAAGACUUAUUUGUAAAUCCUUUUAAAACAAGGCAUAGUACCCCAUAAUGAAUUAAAAGCACAGGGAUCAAUUGUAAUGCAGAUAAUGUCAGUAUUGUGAGACAAUGCCCAUCCACAGGCAAUUCGCUGAAACUAUAGUAAACCAAGUGAUGCAAAACUUUUGGCCAUAGCUGUACUAUGCAUUUACCAUAGUUUGCCAUGUUUUUUUUAAAUGUGCUUUUCCAUACCUCCCUAGGCUUUGCAAUGCUGACCUAUGCUUAUGCUUAUGCUUUCACUAUGUUAUAUGUAAGUCG